This is a long non-coding RNA of Salmo salar (Atlantic salmon), 4661 nucleotides long. RefSeq lists it as uncharacterized. Lineage: Eukaryota; Metazoa; Chordata; Actinopteri; Salmoniformes; Salmonidae. The record is from RefSeq and is a predicted model, not a curated record.
ACCCCUGAAUCGGCAGAAUUUUCGAGGCUAUUGCGAUUCUGUAAAGGAAGGGUGGGAGACAUCUGGGCGCUCGGGGGUCACAUUAGCGCAGCAUUUGGAACGGUGUGUGGAACAUGGUCGUUUACAUUUCAUUUCCUUAAAUUUCAAUUUCUCUCUUCCAUUUGGAUUCAUUUUUCUAUUGUAAAACGGCUAUAGCCUUACGCGCGUGCGUCCAGUUUCAAUAAUCUUAUUGCGCAAACCCGAUGACACAUUAGGGUUUAUUCCAUCUAUAUACGCUGAUCAGCCAGGAGUUAUGAAUUUCUAUUUUGCAGUAUUUGCCUUCAUGGCACCGUGCAUUUUUGUUAUAGUAACGGUAGGGGUAUCAUGUAUAAUUCAUCGAAGGAGGCAGAGUCGGCUUUGAAAACGCUCACUUCUAUGAUGGACGCUCUGGGUCGUAUUAGUGAUCACCAUCAGUCACAGACACCAGACCUCUGGAAGCCUCCCUGGGACCUCUGGAAGCCUCCCUGGGAGCUCUCAUCAUGACAAUCCACAAGCACGCUGGCAGUGAAGAUGCCAAGACCCUCAUUAAGAAAGAGCUAACCAACCUCAUCAAGGCUAAGCUGCCAAAUAUUGCUGGGAAGGGUGGUCCUGAAGUGGGGCACCUGAUGACAAUGCUGGACCAGAACGCUGACGACUCCAUGAACUUCAAGAAGUACAUCACCUUGAAUGGAUCCCUUACAUGUGCAACUCUGCCCUAGUGGGAAAAUGCCAGCUUCCAUCUGCUUUGUACAGUGUAUUACAUUACACUCGUGCACCCCCCUCCUGCAAAUCAAAAUGCGUCUGGAUUUACCGGUAAUAUUCUCAACUCCAGAGCAUAAAAAAAACUCCCAUAGGCCUAUUUCCUGUGGGAUCAGGCGCAUGCUUUCUCUCUAAAAUGCUAUGUUUUAAUAGGCCCACCAAGAACCCAUGUUAUCUAUAUCUAUUAUAAAACAGUAGGCCUGUAGGCUAGGGCUGGUCCUGCAUGUCCGAUGCGCAAAAUGCACAUCCAAAUUGGGAGUGAGAAUGUAAUUUUCACUUCUCCAGUGUAGGCUGACUAAUCUACCAGCUCACGUUUGUUGCCUAUGUUGUAGGCCUAGUGCUAGUUUGACUCAUUGUGUACAGUACUUUGCUUUAUUUGACAGCAUUAUUUUAAAGGAUUUGAGGGGUAGUUUAAGAGUUGGGAAAAACAGGGCAAUGAGUCAUUAGAUCAGCCAUUGAAGAUUUUAUGCACAGGGAAUAGGCUGCUAUAAGCCCAUAGCACUUUUGAUAGUAUACCUUGGAUACUGUGGAUUGCUGCAUGUUGCAUACAUGAUGUGUAUAAACCCUGGAUGACUGACAGGGGGCACUGUAUUGAAGUCACCUCACAGCCAUCUUGGCAUCUCUGCAAUGUAAAACAUAUUUUUAAAGAUAUAGAAAUGCAUUUAUUAAUGUCUACAUUCGUUUUUUGACACAUUUAUUAUAUUACAGACACAAUAAUGCACACUUUUAAAUUAUAUUAUGUGAGCUAAACAUAUAUAUAUAUAUAUAUAUAUAUAUAUAUAUAUAUAUAUAUAUAUAUAUAUAUAUAUAUAUAUAUAUAUAUAUAUUUAAAAAAAUCCUUGAAGUAUAUAUUUUUGGAGAGUUGUUCCUGUUCCCAACAACAAAAAUACUUAAAUAGCCGUGGGAAGUAGGGGUGCUGAGGGUGCUGCAGCCACCCUUGAUAGAUUACAAUAAAGAAAGUAUUAAUAAAAAAUACAUAUAUGUUUUUUUAAGAAAAUAAAAAAAUUGUGCACUAGGCCUUUAUUACUCCUGUAUGAGAGGAGCAGAGAAAAGAAGUCCUUAUCAGCAGAGCCUGCCUCCGUUCUUUCACCAUUCAUUGUUCCCAUAGGGGGAUUUUACAACCACUUCAAACAAGGUCUGUGUUUCAUGUAGGCUUUCCCUGGCGUGACAUUUUGAUAACCGUGUAAAUCUCUCUCGGACAAGGUGACUUUUAUCAAUAUAUUCCGCUCUAUUUACCCCCAGAUUCUAAAAUGCUAAUUAGCCUCAAAGGCGACAUAUGAAAACCUACAAAUCCAUGCAAGCUCCUGCGCGUCAUCUUUAGCUGACACCUUUGCUGUCAGCUAGCUAACUACUAGCUACUGUGUUAGAGCUAGGCCGUAACAAAACCCUUCCAACACUCCUGCUCUUCAGGACUUCCUGCAAUGACUGAAACAGACCAAAGCCGGAGAAUAGUAUAAACAGCUUACCUAGUUGAGAGGUGAUAAGACUCAGGCAUACCCAUUGGUUCUGGAAUAGAGAAGGUUUGCAAUUUGGCAUCAAUUACAUGACAGUAAUUCUACCUAAAAAACAAACGUGUGAAUACCAAUUACCUUUCAUAUUGGUAGUUACAGUCUUGUCCCAUCGCUGCAACUCACGUACGGACUCGGGAGAGGCGAAUGUCGAGAGCCAUGCCUCCUCCAAAAACACAACCCCGCCAAGCUGCUUCUUGACACAACGCACGCAUAACCCGGAAACCAGCUGCACUAAUGUUUCAGAGGAAACACAGUACACCUGGCAACUGUGUCAGCGUGCAUGCGCCCGGCCCACCACUGGAGUCGCUAGAGCACGAUGGGACAAGGACAUCCCGGAUGGCCAAACCCUCCCCUAACCCAGACGAUGCUGGCCCAAUUGUGCGUCGCCUCAUGGGUCUCCCGGUCGUGGCCUGGUAUCAAACCAGGAUCUGUAGUAAGGCAGCUAGCACUGUGAUGCAGUGCCUUAGACCGCUGCGUCACUCAGGAGGCCACAAUUCCAAUUAAUUUAAACCCCAUUAUAACAAGUAGGACUAAAUAAGGUUACAUAACCUUAUUUAGUCCUACUUGUUAUACAAAUUGCAGUCUAGUAGCUAUACUAAUAAUUUGCUGUCCAGAGUGUAACAGCAAACAGAUCAAUGUCUUCCCGAAGUAAAGUAAGUAGAAAGUUGACUCAAGAGAUGCUAAUUGGUCAAAACUCUCAAAAAGCCAGACCAAUAUAAUACAGCUAGCUAGCUAGGGUAACUACAAGUCAAGUGGUAGGUUACUGGGAAUAGGCUUCCCACCCCUCACCCACAGACACAAACAAACAUGAUCAAGAAUGCCUAGCUUCAUCAUCAAAGUUAGCUAGCUAGUUAACUAGCAAGCUAGACUGUUGGUUUAUAAAAGCCAAAGAAAGCAAACGUUGUUUUUAGGAAUUUCUCAUGCAUUUAAAUAUCAAGACAAAUAGAUGGCUAAUGUAGCCAGUCUACAUUUGGCCACCCAAGUGGCGCAGUGGUCUAAGGCAUUGCAUCUCAGCUAUUGGCGUCACUAUAGACAACCUGGUUUGAAUCCAGACUGUAUCACAACCGGACAUGAUUGGGAGUCCCAUAGAACGGCGCACAAUUGAACCAGCGUCGUCUGAGUUUGGCCGGUGUAGGCCAUCAUUGUAAAUAAGAAUUUGUUCUUAACUGACUUGCCUAGUUAAAUAAAGGUGAAAUUAAAAAUGCUAACUAGCUAACCAUUAGUUAGCUAACCAUUAGCUAGCUAGCUAGCCUACAACUCAACAUCUUACAGGAACAAGCUCACUGGCCAAGCACACGCACGUUCGUGGAUGCAAGGUCCGAUCACUUCUGACACCAAUGAAAUGAAACAGACAGGGAGCAGGUCUCGAGCCCUCAACAUUCUGGCCCGAAUUCCAGCACGCCAUCGACUGUGCCCCAAAAGCAUGCUCGAGCGGCAGAGUCGAUAUCUACCCUUAUAAACCUAGAGUUGUUACAGUAUUGAUAAAAGUAGACUUGUCCGAGAGUGAUUUACAGUUAUCAAAAAUACAGUUAUCAAUCAAAGUGUUUCUAAAAUCCCCCAUGGGAAAAAGUAAUGGUGGACAAACGAUUGGAACCGUUUCCAUGUUUGACCACUAGGUUUUAUGGGUAUUAUGACUCAUACUGUGAUACUUUAUACUUUAUAGCAUCAGAAAUCCAGGGUUUAUAUACAUAAAUGGUUGCAUAUUAAGGGUGUGUUCGUAAAUUCCCUCUGGAGUGUCAGAGUGCGCUCGGAGUGUGCUCUGGGCGUUCAUAAAUUCAGAGUGUUGUCAGAUUGUCCAUUUGUAAAUUCAGAGCUGAUCCGAGUGUUCUGACCUCGCCCAUUUUACUCGCCCUAGCAGAGCUGGUUAGGAUGUUUUCAUGUUAUCUAGAGCGUUGGUGAUGAUAACUGUGAUGCUGGCAACAAUUUAAUUACGUUUUUUUGCCGACGUUUACUGAUAUCGGUCAUAUUCAACGGGUGUUGCACGUUCAUAAAUGCAUCUGUUAUUGCUCUGGCACACUCAGACGAGUGCUCAGAAAUCGGAGUAAAUAACCAGAGUGAAUUUACGAACUCACCCUAAUAUUACUAUUGGGAUGUAUAAUUGCUAUGGUAAUUUGGAAUAUCCAGUCAAUGAGCAUUAUGGGUAAUGUAGUCAUUAUACAGAAUCUACAUUGCAAGUGCUUACAAGUGCUUACAUCAUUGACAUUGUAACAGCAUGGUAUCCCAGGGAAAAAAACUGGAAAAUAAACAAAAAUACAAAAUACAGGAGGACAUGUUUCUUUUAAGCCUAAAAUUAAGAAAUGAAUCGUAAAAUCAACUGCAGUUUAGAGGCUUAAGGUAUAGAUGCCACAUAAAUAAAUGCCUGUUUAAUUUGAA